AAUUAUCAACCCAAAAGCUUUGUUAUGAGGCUUCUGUGGCUUGGAUGUGGGGGUUUUGCUGGCUUCCUUCAGUGGAUGGUCUGCUCCCCUUAAAUGCAUUAGCGGGAUCUCUUGUGGACCGUCACUUGGUGUGAUAAUUAUCUAUGCCACGUUGACUUUGAAGCAAAAUUAUGGGAACCUGCUCAUAACCGUCUGCUCGUCGGACAACUUUUAUGACA
This 218-nucleotide unclassified non-coding RNA is filed under the name uncultured Mycena. RNAcentral's name for it is "sequence contains ITS2". The record is from RNAcentral. Lineage: Eukaryota; Fungi; Basidiomycota; Agaricomycetes; Agaricales; Tricholomataceae.